GUUGUCGCCAUCUUGUGGCAGCCUUUCAGGAAACCAGCUCAUGUCAGCACUUCUCUGAACUUCAGGGAAUGUGCAGUGUCUGCAAAUCUUACAUGUCACCUUAAAUGUACUUGCAACACCACCAGAGUUAUCUUGAAAGAAGUCAUUGAUCAGCAAGUUGGAACACCCGGCAAAGCAAAGACCUAUUUGUGAGUGUAUGCAUUGAGCUGGGGUGGCAGAGGAGGUGGCGUAUGGGAAUCUCUGUAAUCACAGUGUCUCCUGGCUGACAAGAACAAGAAAUAACUGUUCUGACACCUCACCAAAAUGUCUUCUUCCUCAGCAUCCAAAUCCUGGAAAUAGGAAAAGACAAGUCCCUGUAACCAUUUUCUCCACUCCGUAUCCUUCUUUAUUUUCUCCAAAGCACUCAUCUCUACCUAAUACAAUGUAUACUGGUUUAUAAUCAGUCAACCCCUAAUAGAAUGUAAGCUUCACAAGAGUGUCUUGCUUUUCUGCUGUAUCCCUAGAACCUACAAUAAUGCCUGGCAUCUAUUGGCUACCCCAAAAAUAUGUUUGAAUGAAUAAAUGGUCAACUCUUAUUUGGACUUAUGAUGCCAUAAUGAAAAAUCUUUAAUAACUGAAAUAAUAUGAUAUGAAGCUAUAAUUUAAUUUUGUUCAGUUCUUCUUUACAUUGAAAUGUUUUAAUUUUUACGAAACCAACUUUAUUUACCUUUUUUGUGACAUUCUUCAUUAUGUUAUAGAUGAAACAUCCUCUUUCACCCUGACAUAAAUAACACUUAUAUGUCCUUCUUGAUUGGUGGGUUUUAUAUCUGCAUGUUACUCCUCAACUAACUUACAAUUUAUGUUGAUGGAAAGUUUUAUACUUUUUUCUUGUUUUUAUUCCUUGCUAUUUUUCCCCCAAAUAGCUAACUGAUUGUCUUCAUACCAUUCAUUAAAUAACAUUUAUUCUCCCAAUUAAUACUCUUGGCUAUUUUAACAGUUGAAUUAUAAUGUUCAAUGACAUUAAACC
RNAcentral lists this long non-coding RNA (1006 nucleotides) under Homo sapiens (human). RNAcentral's name for it is "HSALNT0107159". Lineage: Eukaryota; Metazoa; Chordata; Mammalia; Primates; Hominidae. The record is from RNAcentral.